Molecule: ribosomal RNA, 253 nt
Filed under: uncultured bacterium
Lineage: Bacteria
Description: partial 16S ribosomal RNA
Rfam family: Bacterial small subunit ribosomal RNA
Source: RNAcentral
UACAGAGGUGGCAAGCGUUGUUCGGAAUUACUGGGCGUAAAGGGCGCGUAGGCGGUCUUGCAAGUCCUGUGUGAAAUCCCUCGGCUCAACUGAGGAACUGCACAGGAAACUGCUUGGCUUGAGUUCGGGAGAGGGAAGCGGAAUUCCGGGUGUAGCGGUGAAAUGCGCAGAUAUCAGGAGGAACACCGAUGGCGAAGGCAGCUCGCUGGGACGGUACUGACGCUGAGGCGCGAAAGCGUGGGGAGCGAACAGG